AGCGUACACGGUGGAUGCCCUGGCAGUCAGAGGCGAUGAAGGACGUGCUAAUCUGCGAUAAGCGUCGGUAAGGUGAUAUGAACCGUUAUAACCGGCGAUUUCCGAAUGGGGAAACCCAGUGUGAUUCGUCACACUAUCAUUAACUGAAUCCAUAGGUUAAUGAGGCGAACCGGGGGAACUGAAACAUCUAAGUACCCCGAGGAAAAGAAAUCAACCGAGAUUCCCCAGUAGCGGCGAGCGAACGGGGAGCAGCCCAGAGCCUGAAUCAGUGUGUGUGUUAGUGGAAGCGUCUGGAAAGGCGUGCGAUACAGGGUGACAGCCCCGUACACAAAAAUGCACAUAUUGUGAGCUCGAUGAGUAGGGCGGGACACGUGGUAUCCUGUCUGAAUAUGGGGGGACCAUCCUCCAAGGCUAAAUACUCCUGACUGACCGAUAGUGAACCAGUACCGUGAGGGAAAGGCGAAAAGAACCCCGGCGAGGGGAGUGAAAAAGAACCUGAAACCGUGUACGUACAAGCAGUGGGAGCACGCUUAGGCGUGUGACUGCGUACCUUUUGUAUAAUGGGUCAGCGACUUAUAUUCUGUAGCAAGGUUAACCGAAUAGGGGAGCCGAAGGGAAACCGAGUCUUAACUGGGCGUUAAGUUGCAGGGUAUAGACCCGAAACCCGGUGAUCUAGCCAUGGGCAGGUUGAAGGUUGGGUAACACUAACUGGAGGACCGAACCGACUAAUGUUGAAAAAUUAGCGGAUGACUUGUGGCUGGGGGUGAAAGGCCAAUCAAACCGGGAGAUAGCUGGUUCUCCCCGAAAGCUAUUUAGGUAGCGCCUCGUGAAUUCAUCUCCGGGGUAGAGCACUGUUUCGGCAAGGGGGUCAUCCCGACUUACCAACCCGAUGCAAACUGCGAAUACCGGAGAAUGUUAUCACGGGAGACACACGGCGGGUGCUAACGUCCGUCGUGAAGAGGGAAACAACCCAGACCGCCAGCUAAGGUCCCAAAGUCAUGGUUAAGUGGGAAACGAUGUGGGAAGGCCCAGACAGCCAGGAUGUUGGCUUAGAAGCAGCCAUCAUUUAAAGAAAGCGUAAUAGCUCACUGGUCGAGUCGGCCUGCGCGGAAGAUGUAACGGGGCUAAACCAUGCACCGAAGCUGCGGCAGCGACACUAUGUGUUGUUGGGUAGGGGAGCGUUCUGUAAGCCUGUGAAGGUGUACUGUGAGGUAUGCUGGAGGUAUCAGAAGUGCGAAUGCUGACAUAAGUAACGAUAAAGCGGGUGAAAAGCCCGCUCGCCGGAAGACCAAGGGUUCCUGUCCAACGUUAAUCGGGGCAGGGUGAGUCGACUCCUAAGGCGAGGCCGAAAGGCGUAGUCGAUGGGAAACAGGUUAAUAUUCCUGUACUUGGUGUUACUGCGAAGGGGGGACGGAGAAGGCUAUGUUGGCCGGGCGACGGUUGUCCCGGUUUAAGCGUGUAGGCUGGUUUUCCAGGCAAAUCCGGAAAACUAAGGCUGAGGCGUGAUGACGAGGCACUACGGUGCUGAAGCAACAAAUGCCCUGCUUCCAGGAAAAGCCUCUAAGCAUCAGGUAACAUCAAAUCGUACCCCAAACCGACACAGGUGGUCAGGUAGAGAAUACCAAGGCGCUUGAGAGAACUCGGGUGAAGGAACUAGGCAAAAUGGUGCCGUAACUUCGGGAGAAGGCACGCUGAUAUGUAGGUGAAGUCCCUCGCGGAUGGAGCUGAAAUCAGUCGAAGAUACCAGCUGGCUGCAACUGUUUAUUAAAAACACAGCACUGUGCAAACACGAAAGUGGACGUAUACGGUGUGACGCCUGCCCGGUGCCGGAAGGUUAAUUGAUGGGGUCAGCGCAAGCGAAGCUCUUGAUCGAAGCCCCGGUAAACGGCGGCCGUAACUAUAACGGUCCUAAGGUAGCGAAAUUCCUUGUCGGGUAAGUUCCGACCUGCACGAAUGGCGUAAUGAUGGCCAGGCUGUCUCCACCCGAGACUCAGUGAAAUUGAACUCGCUGUGAAGAUGCAGUGUACCCGCGGCAAGACGGAAAGACCCCGUGAACCUUUACUAUAGCUUGACACUGAACAUUGAGCCUUGAUGUGUAGGAUAGGUGGGAGGCUUUGAAGUGUGGACGCCAGUCUGCAUGGAGCCGACCUUGAAAUACCACCCUUUAAUGUUUGAUGUUCUAACGUUGACCCGUAAUCCGGGUUGCGGACAGUGUCUGGUGGGUAGUUUGACUGGGGCGGUCUCCUCCUAAAGAGUAACGGAGGAGCACGAAGGUUGGCUAAUCCUGGUCGGACAUCAGGAGGUUAGUGCAAUGGCAUAAGCCAGCUUGACUGCGAGCGUGACGGCGCGAGCAGGUGCGAAAGCAGGUCAUAGUGAUCCGGUGGUUCUGAAUGGAAGGGCCAUCGCUCAACGGAUAAAAGGUACUCCGGGGAUAACAGGCUGAUACCGCCCAAGAGUUCAUAUCGACGGCGGUGUUUGGCACCUCGAUGUCGGCUCAUCACAUCCUGGGGCUGAAGUAGGUCCCAAGGGUAUGGCUGUUCGCCAUUUAAAGUGGUACGCGAGCUGGGUUUAGAACGUCGUGAGACAGUUCGGUCCCUAUCUGCCGUGGGCGCUGGAGAACUGAGGGGGCUGCUCCUAGUACGAGAGGACCGGAGUGGACGCAUCACUGGUGUUCGGGUUGUCAUGCCAAUGGCACUGCCCGGUAGCUAAAUGCGGAAGAGAUAAGUGCUGAAAGCAUCUAAGCACGAAACUUGCCCGAGAUGAGUUCUCCCUGACUCCUUGA
RNAcentral lists this ribosomal RNA (2782 nucleotides) under Shigella dysenteriae. RNAcentral describes it as "bacterial LSU rRNA". It matches the Rfam family "Bacterial large subunit ribosomal RNA". The record is from RNAcentral. Lineage: Bacteria; Pseudomonadati; Pseudomonadota; Gammaproteobacteria; Enterobacterales; Enterobacteriaceae.